RNAcentral lists this long non-coding RNA (200 nucleotides) under Vigna radiata. Its description in RNAcentral is "long non-coding RNA (VRAD_LNC008326)". Lineage: Eukaryota; Viridiplantae; Streptophyta; Magnoliopsida; Fabales; Fabaceae. The record is from RNAcentral.
UGUGAGCUUAUUUAUAAAGUUUGAAAAUAUAAAUAAAUUCUAAUCUUAAGUUAAAGUUUAGGAUUGAAAAUAUAUUUAAUGCUUUAAAAUAAUAUAAGUGGAUGAUAAAUUUUAUAAUUAAAGAAUUUACGUAUGCAUAUUAUACUUUAUUUUUUUUAAUUGAAACAUAGUUGAAAAAAAAAAUAUACAUUUUGAAUAUU